RNAcentral lists this ribosomal RNA (427 nucleotides) under uncultured bacterium. Its description in RNAcentral is "partial 16S ribosomal RNA". It matches the Rfam family "Bacterial small subunit ribosomal RNA", at positions 354 to 796 of the family's 1533-position model. The record is from RNAcentral.
GUGGGGAAUAUUGGGCAAUGGGGGAAACCCUGACCCAGCGACGCCGCGUGAGGGAAGACGGCCUUCGGGUUGUAAACCUCUUUUGUACGGGAAGAAGGAAGUGACGGUACUGUACGAAUAAGUCCCGGCUAACUACGUGCCAGCAGCCGCGGUAAUACGUAGGGGACGAGCGUUGUCCGGAAUUACUGGGCGUAAAGGGCGCGCAGGCUGUGCUGCAAGUCAGCUGUGAAAUGUCUGGGCUUAACCCGGGCAUGCGGUUGAGACUGCAGUGCUGGAGUGCUGUAGAGGCAAGUGGAAUUCCCAGUGUAGCGGUGAAAUGCGUAGAUAUUGGGAAGAACACCGGUGGCGAAGGCGACUUGCUGGGCAGCAACUGACGCUGAGGCGCGAAAGCGUGGGGAGCAAACAGGAUUAGAAACCCUGGUAGUCC